This is a long non-coding RNA of Homo sapiens (human), 510 nucleotides long. The record is from Ensembl. Lineage: Eukaryota; Metazoa; Chordata; Mammalia; Primates; Hominidae.
UGAGGACCAUAAGAUAGAAGAUGAGAAUCCAUCUGCCCUCUUCUCUGCACCCAGGCUUCAAUCCUGUUUGAUCAUGCAGGGGCUACAAGGCCUUCGACACAAAGAACUUGUCUUAGAUUCUAAUCAGUUUAACAAAUAGGACAGACAGCUGCUGAGCACUGUCUGAGUGACACUGAUUUACAUACAAAUGAACCACCAAUGUCCCCUUCUAUCAACUCAGAAUAAAAUCUGGUUUUAGCAUAUGCAGUCCUACGAGACAUGGUUAAAGGAUAUGAAUGAUAGAUAGAGAUAAAAGAAAUCAAGGACCAUUCCUCCACAAGUCUCCAAAGAGGAAAACAACAAUCGAAGAAAAAAGAGUGAGAGAACAGAUGGGCUGGCAGAGUUUUGCUUUCUAUGUGACAUUGUGUACUUAUUAUUCGCAUGAGGACUAAUUUAUAAACCCGGAUAGUGUUUAUAAACUAUACUGUCCUAAUGGAAAUGAAAGCAUUAAUACAACUAGAAGAUUCUUUA